RNAcentral lists this long non-coding RNA (814 nucleotides) under Piliocolobus tephrosceles (Ugandan red Colobus). RNAcentral's name for it is "lncRNA (ENSPTEG00000036470.1)". The record is from RNAcentral. Lineage: Eukaryota; Metazoa; Chordata; Mammalia; Primates; Cercopithecidae.
AUGAGAGGUCACUUAGCUUUUCUGAAGGUGGAGCAGUGGGAGUGGCUCUACAUCUCUCCACUUCCUUCCGCUGAGGUCAGCCCAUUACUGAAAUUAAUCCUACAAUCUAACCAUCCUAACUCCGGUGAAGCUGCAACAGCAGCACCACAGACUAUCUCUGUAAGCUGGUCCCAGUCACUGCAGAGGAAACCAGAAGGAUGGCUUUGGAGGAGGCUUGCUGUUUCAGAUUCUUCACCCACUGUCCCCGGCUGCUGCACCCCUGCACCUCCACGUCUGCCCCCUGCCCGGGGCCAGGGCCCAGCAGUCAUGACAGACACCCCAGUGGAGGAAUCCCUCUUCCAAAUCAUCCACUGCUUCCACCAGUAUGCAGCCCGGCAAGGCGAUGUGGAGACCCUGUCCCUGCAGGAGUUGCAGGCCCUGCUUGUGGACAACGUGCCCCGCUUCAUGGACAGCUUGGGCCGGAAGGAGCCGUACUAUAUCACAGAACUGUUCCAGGCUGCAGACAAGAACAAGGACAACCAGAUCUGCUUCGAUGAGUUCCACUACAUCUUGGGAAAGCUGGUGAAGGACUACCACCUGCAGUACCACCGGCAGCUGUGCGCUCACCACUGUGCUCAACACAGCCUCUACUAGAGGGAGCUCAGGCAGCCUCCUGCCCACCGGAGCCUGACCCAGGAGGAGGUGUGGCCUGCCUAUCAGGAACUGAAUGGAGAACCCAGCUGUGUGUGUCUCUGUGUGUGUGCACGUAUCUGUACAUGUCCGUGAAAAGGAGAGCAGUGUGAGAGAGAAUAAAGCAAUUUCAUACAUAUUUCCA